CAUCAAUAAAAUUAACACAUGUGUAUGCGAUUUCCUAGGCAGACGGCACUUGGGAAGAACACACGCCCGGCCCUUAUGUAGCUGAAAAUAUCUUGAUUUUCAUUGCCCUUUGCUUGCUUGUUGAUUGAUUAUUUGCUGUGGACGGCACACGCCCUAGAGCAGUCCCUUUGCAAACCUUUUCCUGGAGACGGCAGCCACAGGGAACCUUCAGGGAGAGACCCAUGCUGACAUCCAGCCAGGCUGAGGGCAGAACCCAGGGAGCCCAGCGGAACCUCUGCAGCAGAGCCCCGCCAGGGGGCCCAGACCUCACCAUGCUCCAGCCCGCACUUCUCCUGGGUGUCGUCUCUGAUCUUCGCGAUGUCCUCUGCUGGCUUCUACGAGGUCGGCACCGACCCCACAGACAGCUCGAUGGGCUUCAUUGGGCGACUCAGUGAGGAGAAGGCAGAGGACGAGGGAGGCACCAGGUGACCCAAGGCCGCCCCGAGACAGCAGGGCAGCGUGUUUAGCACAGGGCCGGCAUCGAACAGCAGCAGCCCAGCAGCAGACUAAAAUCUCCUGACUGAAAGCUGGGAAGAGAAGCAUCAAGACGGUGUCCCGAGUGGGUCUUGAUUAAUAGGAUGAACGCUGGAACUCAGAAGCCACAAGGACUCAGUCAUGGCCGUGACAGCAGCUUGGCCACGUGCCCAGGCGGUGACUUCCAGGCCACCACGGAUGGCGCGGAGCAGCCUGCGGGGGGGGAGUUGUUUGCUGGCUUGAAACCAGUGGUUCCUGGGUUUAGAUCAACAAUUUACUCAUGAACCUCUUCAGCUGAUGCUUAGGUCAGGGCAGGACCCUGCUUGUGAUAUAACCUGGCUUCUAUCUACCAUGUUCACAGAGCUAGAAAUUAGAGUAGAGAAAAGUUUCAAUUAUUUAUUUGUUAAUUCAUUAAAAAUUGAUAAUAACAAAGCCAUUACAUUUUAGCACUGGCAGCAUUUCUUUUGGAGACAGGGUCUCACUAUGUAGCUCAGGCUGGCCUUGAACUCACUCUGUAGCCCAGGAUGGCCUCGAAUGCAC
Molecule: long non-coding RNA, 1053 nt
Filed under: Heterocephalus glaber (naked mole-rat)
Lineage: Eukaryota; Metazoa; Chordata; Mammalia; Rodentia; Bathyergidae
Description: lncRNA (ENSHGLG00000031130.2)
Source: RNAcentral